CAAUAGCGUCUAUUUAAGUUGUUGCAGUUAAAAAGCUCGUAGUUGGAUUUCGGGUUGGCUUCAGCGGUCUCGCUUUGCGUUUGUACUGCUGCAGCCUACCUUCUUGUCGGGGACGGGCCUUCGGGCUUAAUUGCUUGGGGCCCGGAGUCGACGAUGUUACUUUGAGUAAAUUAGAGUGUUCAAAGCAAGCCUACGCUCUGAAUAUAAUAGCAUGGGAUAACACGACAGGACUCUGGCCUAUCGUGUUGGUCUGUAGGACCAGAGUAAUGAUUAAGAGGGACAGUCGGGGGCAUUCGUAUUCCGUUGUCAGAGGUGAAAUUCUUGGAUUUACGGAAGACGAACAUCUGCGAAAGCAUUUGCCAAGGAUGUUUUCAUUGA
RNAcentral lists this ribosomal RNA (378 nucleotides) under uncultured eukaryote. Its description in RNAcentral is "partial 18S ribosomal RNA". It matches the Rfam family "Eukaryotic small subunit ribosomal RNA", at positions 592 to 976 of the family's 1831-position model. The record is from RNAcentral.